Long non-coding RNA from Pelmatolapia mariae (spotted tilapia), 650 nucleotides. RefSeq lists it as uncharacterized. The record is from RefSeq and is a predicted model, not a curated record. The transcript is spliced from 3 exons. Lineage: Eukaryota; Metazoa; Chordata; Actinopteri; Cichliformes; Cichlidae.
AUGCAGCGGAGCGGAGGUGGAAGUGCCUGGCUUAAAACAGGACAUAUUAGCUGCAUUUAACCUUCAGUUACUCUUUAUAUAGUUAGGUAGGAGUCAGACCAUGUUUCUUUUUGCUGAAAAACAUUACACCAGUCCAAAGAGGGAGAGAGGAAAGAGGGGAACGUGAGGAGAAAGUACAAGGUCAGGAAGAACCAGGCAAAGUUGCCUCCACAUCCCAAGUGGAGGAUGUUGCGGUGGACAGUGGGAAUGAGCAUGCCUGAGCAACAUCUGGGGACGCCUCACUCAGUACCUGGCUAUGAACCGGGGGUCUCACCUGUGGCACCUCCCUCAUCUCUGUGGUCCUGGUCCAGCAGACCAAGCAGCACUGCCCAAGACUCCCUGCUCAGGCACAUGUCAGGCCUGGUUGAUGAUGUGUGUGCAUGCUGGGACACUCAGGUUUAUCCUGGACCGCAGUGGGUAGUGAUUUCCCACAAUCAUGUUGUGUUAUACGUUGCACUGCUUUCAUUUCCACAAUUUGUCACGUGCAAUAGGUCAGGCCCCCCGAAAUUGUGUCAUGUAGUUUGUGACAGACAUGCACUCACAGUUGGGAUGUUCCCACUGUCUUUAUUUACAGAACUGAAAUCAUUUUGUGUGUGCAGAACAAAGGUUGG